AAAAAAACAGUAGAAUGCCACUAGCUUGUGCUUGUCCUGCGAAAAUCUCACGAGAUUCGGAGCUAGUACAACAAAAGCCAUGAUCCGUUAUGAUUUCUGCCGUCUGGAUCUUUCCCGGCUCACGAGAAAAAGCACACAGAGAGAAUCCCGAAACAGAGUCCGGCGCCGUGUGCUCGUGUCCCUUGGUCCCUUCUCCACUCUGAGCUUCCCGUCGUGACACCCUCGCCGGACGCCGGCCCCUCACGAUGCGCAGAGCGGCAAGGCGGGGAGCCCAGGAGUACUGCUCCACUCCCCCGACGCCGGCUCCUACAAAAUCCAGUGACUGUGAGAUCUCUCUACUUGCGAACCUGCAGCGUCGGUCAGACGGUCACCGAGCGUCCGAGCGCGUGCGAAGACGUUGGGGGCGAACAGAAGAGGACUCCAAUUAUUCAGGCUGGCAACGAGUUCCGUUUCCGUGCGCCGCUCAGGUCGCUUUUGAUUAAAACCAUCUAUUUGGACUGUAUAAUCUAGAGACAAAAAACGCUGUAGAAAUAAUAAAAAUCCGUACGGAUUAAAGGCAAACGAAACGCAUUUCCGGUCAUAAUAUAGGAGGCCGGACCAACUCCAAUUUCUCGGACUUGCACAUGCCAAUACUUCCCUCUCCUUGCUAGUUCAAAAGAUGGCUGCUACUUCUCCUUUUCCCCGUCCAUAGGCCAUAUCGACCUACUGUUCGAAGCUGCUUGCAUAAUUUCGAGCUCUACUAUGGAUGAUGAUGAUGAUGGCACUACUUGUACAGUAUUAAAACUUGGAUUACUAGAUGGUCCGGUGCCUGUACAGCAUUAAACUAGGACUACUCUACUAUACUAGUGUAGCAGCUGAGCCGAAGGGUGAUGUGUAGGAUGGAUGUACCCAACAGAUGAGAGGAGAGGAGGACCGAGGAGCUAACCACAAAAAAAAGUCUAAUAAGGAGUUGGUACACCACGGGGCUUUAAUUUUAUUAUGCGUACUCACCUAUGACGAAUAGAAUAGCCGCAUAAUU
This 1018-nucleotide long non-coding RNA is filed under the name Zea mays. RNAcentral describes it as "long non-coding RNA (ZMAY_LNC000065)". Lineage: Eukaryota; Viridiplantae; Streptophyta; Magnoliopsida; Poales; Poaceae. The record is from RNAcentral.